Molecule: ribosomal RNA, 120 nt
Filed under: uncultured Tubulinea
Lineage: Eukaryota; Tubulinea
Description: partial Bacterial large subunit ribosomal RNA
Source: RNAcentral
UGAUUUUUAGGUAUCUUUUUAAAUUUUUAAAAUAGAAAAAUAAAAAUAGGGAAGUGAAACAUCUCAGUACCUAUAAAAAAAACAAUCGUGUAGAAACGUUAGUAGUGGUGAACAAAUGCG